Molecule: ribosomal RNA, 463 nt
Filed under: uncultured bacterium
Lineage: Bacteria
Description: partial 16S ribosomal RNA
Rfam family: Bacterial small subunit ribosomal RNA
Source: RNAcentral
GAUGAACGCUGACAGAAUGCUUAACACUUGCAAGUCUUUGGCGAAUCUGUGCUUGCACAGGCUAGCCAAGGCGGACGGGUGAGUAACGCGUAAAGAACUUGCCCUGCAGACAGGGAUAACAGACGGAAACGACUGAUAACACCUGAUACAGUUGCCGGCACGCAUGUGCCUGGCAAUGAAAAGAGAUGCUGCAGGAGAGCUUUGCGUCCUAUUAGCUUGUUGGUGAGGUGACGGCUCACCAAGGCGAUGAUAGGUAGCCGGCCUGAGAGGGUGAACGGCCACAAGGGGACUGAGAUACGGCCCUUACUCCUACGGGAGGCAGCAGUGGGGAAUAUUGGACAAUGGGGGCAACCCUGAUCCAGCAAUUCUGUGUGCACGAAGAAGGUUUUCGGAUUGUAAAGUGCUUUCAGCAGGGAAGAAGAAAGUGACGGUACCUGCAGAAGAAGCGACGGCUAAAUACGUG